GAGCACAAAACCACGUGCUGAGUUACUGUGCAUCCAGAGGGAUGGGGAGGGGCAGGAAGGAUGACAGUUGGGUCCCCACAAGAGUCUUAGAUCUUUGUCUUCUAACCCUGAGCCACAAGAAACCAGCUGGUCAGCAGAGCUGUGGGCUGGUGGGUGUAGGUGGCUACAGGGGGUGGAAAACAGUAGGUGACCCUGAUCCCUCCUUGCCUCAGGCUCAUACAAUCAGCUGUCUCUGAGCUGGUUCCUUUCCAGACUGUGGAAGGAACUUAUGGGGGCUCUUGGACCUCCGAGUGUGAUAUUUUUAUGGAGGUGGUGUGUGGGUACUCAGGAAGAAAAUUCACCCUCUAGCUUUGUCUGUCUCUGCUGCCCCUAAAAAUACGAUGGGAUAUGGCUAAUGAGAAAGCACAGCAGGCCUGACUUGGGAUGACCUAAUAUAGCCUGGCAUUCCAGCCCUGACCAGUGCGUAAGUGGGGAUUGGUAACUGAAAACACAAAAUGUCUCUCUGAUGGGAUGGCAGAGACCUGCUGCCAUCCCUAAGGCGGGGUACACCCUGGGGAGCUGAGCAGAGGCCCCUGGGGACUCUCCUGGAUUUCCCAGGGUGCAUGGGGUUGGGGCCCAACUGAGAGCACCUCUUCAGUCUCUGACCCACUCUGCCUAGUGGGCCAGCAUCAGGUCUCAAUGAACCCCUGCAGAGAAGAGCAGUUGGCUUGGCACCCCAGGGGUCAUCAUUUCCACCAACCUGUUCUUAAACAGCAGAGUGGACCAGCUUCUCCUAACCUGGCCCUGGGAACAUGCUGGCUGGGCUGGUUUGGGCCCUACAUGAAAUUCCUGAGAGCUUCUGGUCCAGUCCUCCCACCUCAGACAGAGGAAUGACUCCAACCUCGAGUGCGUUCUGUCACGGUGGCUGGUUCCUCUCCUCCUUUGCCUUCUGCAUGGGCACAGACCCGUGGGUCAGCUGAGACACUGAUCUCCUGUGAUGUUGCUCCAUGCUGACUUGUGACUCAGGUCUGCGGAAAAAAGGGGACAGAACAUGGGAGAGGAGAAACAAGAUGGAGGGCGAGGAUGGAUUCUCAGGGCCACCUCAGAGGGUGACCAACUUCUCU
This 1103-nucleotide long non-coding RNA is filed under the name Marmota monax (woodchuck). Lineage: Eukaryota; Metazoa; Chordata; Mammalia; Rodentia; Sciuridae. The record is from RNAcentral.